CCCUUAGAUGUUCUGGGCCGCACGCGCGCUACAAUGAUGAAUUCAACGAGUUUAUAACCUUGGUUGAAAAGCCUGGGUAAUCUUUUGAGCUUUCGUCGUGAUGGGGCUAGACCCUUGCAAUUAUUGGUCUCCAACGAGGAAUUCCUAGUAAACGCAAGUCAUCAGCUUGCAUUGAUUACGUCCCUGCCCUUUGUACACACCGCCCGUCGCACCUACCGAUUGAAUGGUCCGGUGAAAUCUUCGGAUUGAGACUUUGUUUUCUUCACGGAAAACGCUGUUUUAAAAAGUUGAUUAAACCUUACCAUUUAGAGGAAGGUGAAGUCGUAACA
RNAcentral lists this ribosomal RNA (329 nucleotides) under uncultured eukaryote. RNAcentral describes it as "partial 18S ribosomal RNA". It matches the Rfam family "Eukaryotic small subunit ribosomal RNA", at positions 1470 to 1796 of the family's 1831-position model. The record is from RNAcentral.